RNAcentral lists this ribosomal RNA (283 nucleotides) under uncultured bacterium. RNAcentral describes it as "partial 16S ribosomal RNA". It matches the Rfam family "Bacterial small subunit ribosomal RNA", at positions 773 to 1060 of the family's 1533-position model. The record is from RNAcentral.
GUGGAUUAGAUACCCUGGUAGUCCGCACUGUAAACGAUGAUUACUCGCUGCUGGGAGGUAACUUUCAGUGGCUUAGCGAAAGCGAUAAGUAAUCCACCUGGGGAGUACGCCGGCAACGGUGAAACUCAAAGGAAUUGACGGGGGCCCGCACAAGCGGAGGAGCAUGUGGUUUAAUUCGAUGAUACGCGAGGAACCUUACCAGGGCUUGAAAGUUAGUGACCGACUCUGAAAGGAGUCUUCCCGCAAGGGCACGAAACUAGGUGCUGCAUGGCCGUCGACAACU